This 463-nucleotide ribosomal RNA is filed under the name uncultured bacterium. RNAcentral describes it as "partial 16S ribosomal RNA". It matches the Rfam family "Bacterial small subunit ribosomal RNA", at positions 28 to 507 of the family's 1533-position model. The record is from RNAcentral.
GACGAACGCUGGCGGCGUGCUUAACACAUGCAAGUCGAACGGUGAACCUCUUCGGAGGGGAUCAGUGGCGAACGGGUGAGUAACACGUGGGCAACCUGCCCCCGGCUCUGGGAUAACUCCAAGAAAUCGGGGCUAAUACCGGAUGUUCACCGCUUCCCGCAUGGGUGGUGGUGAAAAGGGUUUCCGGCUGGGGAUGGGCCCGCGGCCUAUCAGCUUGUUGGUGGGGUAGUGGCCUACCAAGGCGACGACGGGUAGCCGGCCUGAGAGGGUGACCGGCCACACGAGGACUGAGACACGGCGCAGAAGGGUACGGGAGGCAGCGGGGGGGAAUAUUGCGGAAUGGGGGGAAGCGAGACGCGGAGACGCCGGGUGGGGGAUGACGGGCUACGGGUUGUAAACCUCUUUCAGCAGGGACGAAGCGCAAGUGACGGUACCUGCAGAGGAAGCACCGGCCAACUACGUG